UGAUUCAACAAUUUGUACGAAGAAUCCUCGACUGUCUUCAUUUGUAGGUUACAAUAGUUUCAAAUUUGCCACGUUAACCAUCGACCACCUUGAUCACAUAAAAAUAAAUGAUGAGUCGCCAUGAUGUUUAAAAAUAAUCAGACAUUAUAACGAACAUGAAUUUAUGAUGAUGCCGUAAUACUUUCCAACCAAUGAUAUGCAGGAGUUUAAAAUGUCGACCAAUCGCAAACGAUGUGUCUCAUAACAUAUUUAUCAUCCAUUCUUAGAUACGUCGAAAAAAUUAAAAUGGAACUUUCAACAAAACCUUUUCAAUACUAUACAGAAUAUGGUACAUGCAAUGGAUAGCAUAGCACGCGUUAAAUAAUAGGAAAUUGAAAACUUUGGCAGCGAUCCAAGCGUGCAUCAUUUUACACCGACAUCUUGUAACAUGGACUUGGUCGUCAGUGAGUUACAAUACACGAUGGUCAUAUGAUAUGGGCGCUAAAACGAAUUAAUUUACUUAUU
Polistes canadensis is the source of this 504-nucleotide long non-coding RNA. RefSeq lists it as uncharacterized. Lineage: Eukaryota; Metazoa; Arthropoda; Insecta; Hymenoptera; Vespidae. The record is from RefSeq and is a predicted model, not a curated record. The transcript has 3 exons.